This 369-nucleotide long non-coding RNA is filed under the name Malus domestica (apple). RNAcentral's name for it is "long non-coding RNA (MDOM_LNC019907)". The record is from RNAcentral. Lineage: Eukaryota; Viridiplantae; Streptophyta; Magnoliopsida; Rosales; Rosaceae.
ACACCAAAAGUUUGAUGUCUCUAAGUCUCCACACCAAGGGUUAAGUGUGAAGAUGAAAUGGAUGACUUAGGGAAGAAGAGAUUGCUAGAUUAAUCUCCCUAAGUGGCCGGCCUCUUUGUAGAGAGAAAGAGAGAAAAUGUUUCACCUCUUUGCCUCAAAGAAAAAAAAAACCCUAAUGAGAAAAUAGCUAUAAAGUUGCUUUUAUAACACUUUUCUUUGGUGAGUGCCAAACUUGCAAUUAAGCAAACUUUCACCAUCUCCUCACCAUGGCCGGCCUAUAUGUUGUGAUUGGGCUCAUUGCCCAUUUUGUUUUAGUUGUCAUACAACUUAAACAUAAUGGGCCUUAUGGACCAAAACACUUUUGGGCCC